This 253-nucleotide ribosomal RNA is filed under the name uncultured bacterium. Its description in RNAcentral is "partial 16S ribosomal RNA". It matches the Rfam family "Bacterial small subunit ribosomal RNA", at positions 524 to 776 of the family's 1533-position model. The record is from RNAcentral.
GACAGAGGUCCCAAGCGUUAGGCGGAAUCACUGGGCUUAAAGCGUGUGUAGGCGGAUUUGUAAGUACCUUGUGAAAUCCCACGGCUCAACCGUGGAACUGCUUGGUAUACUGCUUAUCUUGGGCCAUCUAGGGGCGAGCGGAACAAACGGUGGAGCGGUGAAAUGCGUAGGGAUGUGGAGGAACACCGAUGGCGAAGGCAGCCCCCUGGGACCUGACUGACGCUCAUGUACGAAAGCGUGGGGAGCAAACAGG